UACGGAGGAUCCGAGCGUUAUCCGGAAUUAUUGGGUUUAAAGGGUGCGUAGGCGGGCUAUUAAGUCAGUGGUGAAAUCCUGCAGCUUAACUGCAGAACUGCCGUUGAUACUGAUAGUCUUGAGUUUGGUUAAGGUAGGCGGAAUGUGUAAUGUAGCGGUGAAAUGCUUAGAUAUUACACAGAACACCAAUUGCGUAGGCAGCUUACUGAGCCGACACUGACGCUGAGGCACGAAAGCGUGGGGAUCAAACAGGAUUAGA
This 259-nucleotide ribosomal RNA is filed under the name uncultured prokaryote. Its description in RNAcentral is "partial 16S ribosomal RNA". It matches the Rfam family "Bacterial small subunit ribosomal RNA", at positions 524 to 782 of the family's 1533-position model. The record is from RNAcentral.